AACUAGCUGACAAUUACAACUUGGAAGCCAGGCCUCAUUCUGCAAGCUGUUGGGUUACGGUAUUUACAGAGGUGUGGAAGAUGUUUAUUUUACACCAUUGGCAUAUUCCCGGCAUAUCCAGAAUCGACACACCAGGAGAAGUCGGGUCCCUGAGAGGCCGGCCCCAUGCUCGUCUAUCUUGUAUGAAUGGCUCACUUGUCGAUGAGCAAAGAAUGCACGAACUGAAGUGAGAGAGGAGGGCAAAGCCAGAGUACCCCGAUGACGAAAUGGAGAACUCCAUCAGUCAAUGGCGUUCGUCCAUCGGCAGGCUCCGUCGAUUCUCAGAUAUCAAAAUGCACUCACUUCUGGCCAACUCAAUAUCUUAAUCUACCGGACG
Molecule: small RNA, 376 nt
Filed under: Histoplasma ohiense
Lineage: Eukaryota; Fungi; Ascomycota; Eurotiomycetes; Onygenales; Ajellomycetaceae
Description: hypothetical lncRNA
Source: RNAcentral